GUAGGUGGCAAGCGUUGUCCGGAAUUAUUGGGCGUAAAGCGCGCGCAGGCGGUUCUUUAAGUCUGAUGUGAAAGCCCACGGCUCAACCGUGGAGGGUCAUUGGAAACUGGAGAACUUGAGUACAGACGAGGAAAGCGGAAUUCCACGUGUAGCGGUGAAAUGCGUAGAGAUGUGGAGGAACACCAGUGGCGAAGGCGGCUUUCUGGUCUGUAACUGACGCUGAGGCGCGAAAGCGUGGGGAGCAAACAGGGAUUAGAUACCCUGGUAGUCCACGCCGUAAACGAUGAGUGCUAAGUGUUAGGGGGUUUCCGCCCCCUUAGUGCUGCAGCUAACGCAUUAAGCACUCCGCCUGGGGAGUACGGCCGCAAGGCUG
RNAcentral lists this ribosomal RNA (373 nucleotides) under uncultured organism. Its description in RNAcentral is "partial 16S ribosomal RNA". It matches the Rfam family "Bacterial small subunit ribosomal RNA", at positions 527 to 896 of the family's 1533-position model. The record is from RNAcentral.